RNAcentral lists this ribosomal RNA (497 nucleotides) under uncultured bacterium. Its description in RNAcentral is "partial 16S ribosomal RNA". It matches the Rfam family "Bacterial small subunit ribosomal RNA", at positions 28 to 507 of the family's 1533-position model. The record is from RNAcentral.
GACGAACGCUGGCGGCGUGCCUAAUACAUGCCAGUUGAGCGAUGAAGAUUGGUGCUUGCACCAAUUUGAAGAGCAGCGAACGGGUGAGUAACGCGUGGGGAAUCUGCCUUUGAGCGGGGGACAACAUUUGGAAACGAAUGCUAAUACCGUAUAACAACUUUAAACAUAAGUUUUAAGUUUGAAAGAUGCAAUUGCAUCACUCAAAGAUGAUCCCGCGUUGUAUUAGCUAGUUGGUGAGGUAAAGGCUCACCAAGGCGAUGAUACAUAGCCGACCUGAGAGGGUGAACGGCCAAAUUGGGAAUGAGACACGGCCCAAACUCCUACGGGAGGCAGCAGUAGGGAAUCUUCGGAAAUGGACGAAAGUCUGACCGAGCAACGCCGCGUGAGUGAAGAAGGGUUUCGGAUCGUAAAACUCUGUUGGUAGAGAAGAACGUUGGUGAGAGUGGAAAGCUCAUAAAGUGACGGUAACUACACAGAAAGGGACGGCUAACUACGUG